RNAcentral lists this ribosomal RNA (253 nucleotides) under uncultured bacterium. Its description in RNAcentral is "partial 16S ribosomal RNA". It matches the Rfam family "Bacterial small subunit ribosomal RNA", at positions 524 to 776 of the family's 1533-position model. The record is from RNAcentral.
UACGUAGGGGGCAAGCGUUGUCCGGAAUCAUUGGGCGUAAAGCGCGCGUAGGCGGCCCGGUAAGUCCGCUGUAAAAGUCAAAGGCUCAACCUUUGAAUGUCAGUGGAUACUGCCGGGCUAGAGUCCGGAAGAGGCGAGUGGAACUCCUGGUGUAGCGGUGGAAUGCGCAGAUAUCAGGAAGAACACCAACGGCGAAGGCAGCUCGCUGGGACGGUACUGACGCUGAGGCGCGAAAGCGUGGGGAGCGAACAGG